Molecule: ribosomal RNA, 226 nt
Filed under: uncultured bacterium
Lineage: Bacteria
Description: partial 16S ribosomal RNA
Rfam family: Bacterial small subunit ribosomal RNA (bases 1-202)
Source: RNAcentral
UGGGCAACCUGCCUCAAAGAGGGGAAUAGCCUCCCGAAAGGGAGAUUAAUACCGCAUAAUAUGUUUAAGUCGCAUGACUUUAACAUCAAAGGAUUUUCUUUUAGAACUUCCACUUUGAGAUGGACCCGCGGCGCAUUAGCUAGUUGGUGAGGUAACGGCUCACCAAGGCAACGAUGCGUAACCGACCUGAGGNGGUNGCGCANGUAGACUGAACGACCGUACCGGU